UAGGGAAUCUUCGGCAAUGGGGGGAACCCUGACCGAGCAACGCCGCGUGAGUGAAGAAGGUUUUCGGAUCGUAAAGCUCUGUUGUUAAGGAAGAACGAGUGUGAGAAUGGAAAGUUCAUACUGUGACGGUACUUAACCAGAAAGGGACGGCUAACUACGUGCCAGCAGCCGCGGUAAUACGUAGGUCCCGAGCGUUGUCCGGAUUUAUUGGGCGUAAAGCGAGCGCAGGCGGUUAGAUAAGUCUGAAGUUAAAGGCAGUGGCUCAACCAUUGUAGGCUUUGGAAACUGUUUAACUUGAGUGCAGAAGGGGAGAGUGGAAUUCCAUGUGUAGCGGUGAAAUGCGUAGAUAUAUGGAGGAACACCGGUGGCGAAAGCGGCUCUCUGGUCUGUAACUGACGCUGAGGCUCGAAAGCGUGGGGAGCGAACAGGAUUAGAUACCCGGGUAGUCCACGCCGUAAACGAUGAGUGCUAGGUGUUAGGUCCUUUCCGGGACUUAGUGCCGCAGCUAACGCAUUAAGCACUCCGCCUGGGGAGUACGACCGCAAGGUUG
RNAcentral lists this ribosomal RNA (550 nucleotides) under uncultured bacterium. Its description in RNAcentral is "bacterial SSU rRNA". It matches the Rfam family "Bacterial small subunit ribosomal RNA", at positions 355 to 896 of the family's 1533-position model. The record is from RNAcentral.